ACAGACUUACUCUGUGACACUCAAAAAAUGAAACCUUUAAUAAUUCGAGAAGACUUCAGUAGGAAUCCGUAUGUGGGUGAUCUCACAGAGGAAGUUGUUUAUACACCAGAAAUGGCUUUGAAGUGGAUCACAAAGGGAGAAAAGAACAGACAUUAUAGAGUUACGA
Molecule: long non-coding RNA, 166 nt
Organism: Diceros bicornis minor
Lineage: Eukaryota; Metazoa; Chordata; Mammalia; Perissodactyla; Rhinocerotidae
Exons: 3
Source: RefSeq, a predicted model, not a curated record